UAUUAUGAAUGGCCCGUUAGUUAUUAUGAACGACCCGUUUAGUUAUUAUGAAUGGCCCGUUAUGUUUUAUGAAUGGCCCGUUAGUUAUUAUGAAUGGCCCAUUCGUUAUUAUGAAUGGUCCGUUCGUUAUUAUGAAUGGCCCUUUAGUUAUUAUGAAUGGCCGAUUUAGGUUUUAUGAAUGGCCCGUUAGGUUUUAUGAAUUAGUUAUUAUGAAUGGUCCAUUCGUUAUUAUGAAUGGCCUGUUAGUUAUUAUGGAUGGCCCGUUAGUUAUUAUGGAUGGCCCGUUAGUUAUUAUGAAUGGCCCGUUAGGUUUUAUAAAUGGCCCGUUAGUUAUUAUGAAUGGCCCAUUCAUUUUAUGAAUGGCCCGUUAGUUAUUAUGAAUGGCCCGUUAGUUAUUAUGAAUGGCCCGUUAGUUAUUAUGUUAGUUAUUACGUUAGUUAUUAUUAGUUCCAGUAGAUUUGUUUUUGUGUCGUUAUUACGGUAAAGGUCUGACUGUCUUUGUGUCGUUAUUACGGUAAAGGUCUGACUGUCUUUGUGUCGUUAUUACGGUAAAGGUCUGACUGUCUUUGUGUCGUUAAUACGGUAAAGGUCUGACUGUCUUUGUGUCGUUAUUACGGUAAAGGUCUGACUGUCUUUGUGUCGUUAUUACGGUAAAGGUCUGACUGUCUUUGUGUCGUUAUUACGGUAAAGGUCUGACUUUGUGGCGUUAAUACGGUAAAGGUCUGACUUUGUGGCGUUAUUACGGUAAAGGUCUGUCUUUGUGUCGUUAAUACGGUAAAGGUCUGACUGUCUUUGUGUCGUUAUUACGGUAAAGGUCUGACUGUCUUUGUGUCGUUAUUACGGUAAAGGUCUGACUGUCUUUGUGUCGUUAUUACGGUAAAGGUCUGACUGUCUUUGUG
Molecule: non-coding RNA, 899 nt
Organism: Oncorhynchus mykiss (rainbow trout)
Lineage: Eukaryota; Metazoa; Chordata; Actinopteri; Salmoniformes; Salmonidae
Source: RefSeq, a predicted model, not a curated record